CCUACGUGGGACUGCAGUGGGGAAUAUUGCACAAUGGAGGAAACUCUGACCCAGCGAUGCCGCGUGAAUGAAGAAGGUCUUCGGAUUGUACAGUUCUUUCGUCAGGGAAGAAGUCAAUGACGGUACCUUAAGAAUAAGCGCCUGCUUACUUCGUGCCAGCCGCGGCAGUAAUACGUAGGGAGCAAGCGUCGUUCGGGAUGACUGGGCGUGAAGGGUUCGUAGGCGGUUGUACCAGUUAGUAGUGAAAUACCCAGGGCUUAACUCGGGUGCUGCUUCUGAAACUGUAUGACUUGAGUGCAGUAGAGGUUAGUGGAAUUCCUAGUGUAGCGGUGGAAUGCGUAGAUAUUAGGAGGAACACCAGAGGCGAAGGCGGCUAACUGGACUGCAACUGACGCUGAGGCACGAAAGUGUGGGGAGCAAACAGGAUUAGAUACCCGGGUAGUC
RNAcentral lists this ribosomal RNA (444 nucleotides) under uncultured bacterium. RNAcentral's name for it is "partial 16S ribosomal RNA". It matches the Rfam family "Bacterial small subunit ribosomal RNA", at positions 338 to 795 of the family's 1533-position model. The record is from RNAcentral.